UGGGGAAUAUUGCACAAUGGAGGAAACUCUGAUGCAGCGACGCCGCGUGAGUGAAGAAGGUCUUCGGAUCGUAAAACUCUGUCCUUGGUGACGAAAAAAAUGACGGUAGCCAAGGAGGAAGCCCCGGCUAACUACGUGCCAGCAGCCGCGGUAAUACGUGGGGGGCAAGCGUUGUCCGGAUUUACUGGGUGUAAAGGGUGCUCAGGCGGAUUUGUAAGUCAGAGGUGAAAUCUUACAGCUUAACUGUGAAACUGCCUUUGAUACUGCAAGCCUAGAGUAUGGAAGAGNGUGAUGGAAUAUCUGGUGUAGCAGUGAAAUGCGUAGAUAUCAGAUAGAACACCAAUGGCGAAGGCAGUCACUUGGUCCAUUACUGACGCUAAAGCACGAAAGCGUGGGUAGCAAACA
Molecule: ribosomal RNA, 405 nt
Filed under: uncultured bacterium
Lineage: Bacteria
Description: bacterial SSU rRNA
Rfam family: Bacterial small subunit ribosomal RNA
Source: RNAcentral